This is a long non-coding RNA of Mauremys reevesii (Reeves's turtle), 1347 nucleotides long. RefSeq lists it as uncharacterized. NCBI's taxonomy places the organism in Eukaryota, Metazoa, Chordata, Testudines, Geoemydidae. The transcript has 4 exons. The record is from RefSeq and is a predicted model, not a curated record.
GUGUGUGGUGACUGCAUAUACCUUUUAGGAACAAGUAAUGGAGGUCCUUGCAGAAAUCAAAAAUAGCCAGCAGUUAAAACUAAAUGGAAUUAAAACAUGACUUAAAACAAGAGCUGAAGGUGUCCUAAAAGGAACUAAAGCAGCAUCUAGAGGCUUCCCAGAAAGAGCUAAGGACUGACUUGCAGGGAGAAGUCAAAUCUCUGUUAGAACAGCAACUACAAAGUGUCUGAAUAGUUUGGGGAAACUCAACUGCAAAACUCCCAGGCUAGAAUGAUAAAAUGAAUUGAUGAGGUGGCCAUAAAUCUGACUGCUGGAAACUAGAAGUUCCUCCAUGAAAGACUAGAGAUUAAGCAAGCUUUAGUCAACUUGGAGCUUGCCAACAGAGAUGAGCUGCAGCAAGGACUUAAAUUGCUGAAAAUUUAGCUCCAGAAGGAAAGGUCACAGACUACAGGGGAAAGCAGCUACCUGGAUGAGGAGUUGAACCAGCCAGAGUAAGAAAGGAAUUGAACCAGCCAGCUUUGGCAGUGUACCAGAAUAGGAAGCAGCCACUAGCAAGAAGGAUGGAGCCUGAUCACCAGGGGUUUUGGUCGUAGUUCAUGAUCACCUCAGGCGGUCCAGGAUGACAAGUCACAGUUCUGUUCAUGUGAUCCAAUAAUUCAGGUAUGGACGAGUAAUUACCUCGUCAUAGGAUGAAACUCCACGCCAUAUCUCCAAAGGUGAUUUCAAAAGGGUGUCUUCGUUGAUAGUAUUCCAGCUGUGCAGGAGGAAUCAUUUUCAUUCGUGUCUAAAUGUCACAGAGUCGAGAAGCUUCCACCCAGCUGUUAAACUUAUCUGGCCACUCCAACCAUUUCACCAGUAGCUGCUUUUUUCUCUCUUUUCCUUUCUCCGCUAGAACUUUUUCAAUCCUGUAAAUUCUGUCUCGUUUGGGGUUUACUUUGUGUAAUUCUUCAGGGUAAAAAGAUCCAAUAACUGUCUCACCCUCGUAAUCUUUUAAUCAGUAUACAGGUCUCUGGCUCCUGGAUAACACUUCAUCCACUAUGAAUAUCUCAUCAGUAAAUGUUUGUUCAUAACCUUUUUCAAAAGCUCCUUUGGUUUUAGAUAGUCUCAUGUGCUCACCUUUUCUAAAAGGGGAAACAACCAGUUUUAUUUUAGAACUGUCUUCAUAAACCAUUUUCAUACCUUCAGAGAAUUUGAAGGGUUAACAUCAGCGGGUCUGGUACGUAUAGUUCUGUGAAAGCUCCGGCUGUAACUCUUUAUAAAGUCAGAUAACACGUUGAUGUAGCGAAAGGUAUUAUGGGCUGUAAAAUAUCUCCAUAUCCUAGUUUUUAAAGUUCUGUUAAAUCGCUC